Molecule: small nucleolar RNA, 179 nt
Filed under: Eremothecium gossypii ATCC 10895
Lineage: Eukaryota; Fungi; Ascomycota; Saccharomycetes; Saccharomycetales; Saccharomycetaceae
Source: RNAcentral
UUAUAAAUAAUAUACAUUCCAAAGAACGGGUAUUAUUGUAGUGGAUUUGUGACGGUGAAAGCCUUACUCAGACAAUAUCUUCUCUACAACUCUGUUCGAGAGCAAUGCCAUAGGCUGCCACGGUAUUUGGUGUCGAUGUGCUCUUUACGCAUCGGCUCCUCAUAUGGGGCCUCACAGCA